ACUAGAAGUGGGACAAUGAACCCGCACCACAUGUUUGGGAUGGUGAUCUCAUCUCCUGACUUUAUUCGUUUCAUUGGUGUGAAGGUAGUGGAAGCGGAGCAGUAUGCCCCUGAUGUGGCUUGAAGGGAGCCUUGGAUGCCAGAUCAUGCCAGGUGGCAUGCUUUUUUCUGAUGGGGAUGGGUGUCAGGGGCUUACAUCCAUUGGCUGGGUGCAGCAGAAGGAUUCUUGUCUGUCAUGAGUGAGUACACGAUCCGGAUAAGCACCAAGCCGACCGACUAGCUCACACGCGACGACGAGUAGGUGAAAAGGAAGGUUAGGAAAACCAAG
Lolium rigidum is the source of this 327-nucleotide long non-coding RNA. RefSeq lists it as uncharacterized. The transcript has 3 exons. Lineage: Eukaryota; Viridiplantae; Streptophyta; Magnoliopsida; Poales; Poaceae. The record is from RefSeq and is a predicted model, not a curated record.